GACGUAGGGCGCGAGCGUUGUCCGGAAUUAUUGGGCGUAAAGAGCUCGUAGGCGGUCUGUCGCGUCGGCUGUGAAAACCCGAGGCUCAACCUCGGGCCUGCAGUCGAUACGGGCAAACUAGAGUACUGCAGGGGAGACUGGAAUUCCUGGUGUAGCGGUGAAAUGCGCAGAUAUCAGGAGGAACACCGGUGGCGAAGGCGGGUCUCUGGGCAGUAACUGACGCUGAGGAGCGAAAGCGUGGGGAGCGAACAGG
RNAcentral lists this ribosomal RNA (253 nucleotides) under uncultured bacterium. Its description in RNAcentral is "partial 16S ribosomal RNA". It matches the Rfam family "Bacterial small subunit ribosomal RNA", at positions 524 to 776 of the family's 1533-position model. The record is from RNAcentral.